This is a long non-coding RNA of Piliocolobus tephrosceles (Ugandan red Colobus), 1843 nucleotides long. RefSeq lists it as uncharacterized. The transcript is spliced from 3 exons. The record is from RefSeq and is a predicted model, not a curated record. NCBI's taxonomy places the organism in Eukaryota, Metazoa, Chordata, Mammalia, Primates, Cercopithecidae.
GAUCAUCACUAACAAUGGAGAAUGACAGCACCAAGGACCCUUCACACACAGCAGACUGCUGAAGGGUGCUUUUCUCCUGGAAAGUCCCUGGAGGAAGGGGAGUCUGCAUGGCCAUGCCAGCCAUGAAACCAUCCCCGCUCCCCAUGCCUGUUUCCAGCAGGCUCAUGCCAGAAACCCAACAUGCACAUCCAGAAGUCAGCCCAGAUCACACAGCAUGAAGAAGUCCUGCUUAGCUACAUGAUGGAAUUUCACGUCAGGCUGUGGAGAUUGUGUCUGGGGAAGAGGUGGGGUUUCCGCGUCAGAUUGAUGUCACCCUGGUACCACAAGGUGUCUCAGUGGGAGAGAUAAGAAGAAGAAAAGCAUGCUUCACCCAGCUAGCAGACCACCUCCGCCCAUCUAGAUGAAAUGGUCCCUUGAGUCUCUCCCCUUUCUCCUUCUUAGCCAGGUAGGUGUCAGAACUCAGCUGUCCUGGGUCCCUGCAGCAGGAUGAAGUUUCCCUCUUGUCACCACACUUACUUCUGCAUGGAAGUGGUCAUGAAGGAGCACUGCAUUGGUGUCCUCCUAAAUGGAGUGCCUCGCAGCAUGUUAAGGGAGGUGGUAUGUGGAAGGGUACGCCUGGCAUAAGACUUUGGGACUUCUCUCCCUCCAGGAUACCGGGUUUCUCAUUCCACUGCAGGCUAGGGGUUUUGGGAUCACGAAGGUGAAGCCCCCAGCUACCGGCAGGACUCUGCCUAACUGAGGUUCUUCAGCUGGUUGCCUGACUGUGAAUGCCCAAGACUGCAGCCUUGCUGAGGUGGGGCCACUGUGGGGCCUUGUGUGAAAGGAGCUUGGGGGUUAUUGCUUGGCUUCUGGGGAAUUGACUUUGAGCCAAGACCUGACAUGUCCUGGAACACUUUCCCCAGUUGCCCCAAUCAUCAGCCAGGGCCUGCAGCUCAAUCUGCUGUAGUACUACCUGAGGGAGUUAGGGCCUCAGAGAGGGAACAGAGAGGAGGCCACGGCUGGGGGCUGAGAGGCCUGUGGCCUCAGCUGGAGCUGCGACACACCUGGAGAACCCAAAGUUCAGAAAAGAGACUGCAGUGAACAAACCCAGACCAUUCAUGGGCUGAGGGAGAAAGGCUCAUCAGGGAACUGUAAUAUCCACAUUUCAGGAUUGUAGAACCUUAAGCUGCCUAAGCAGCCUGAGUGGCUAAGUUACGUGUGUGAGAAUCAGAUUUCAGUGGAUAACUGCUUCAUCAUCCCUUACCAGCUUCCUUUGCUGCCCUUAGGCCUGCUACAACCUGAGGCUGAGGCUGGGCUAAACUAAAACCCUCUCAGCCUCUACGCAGAUGUCCACCCCAGGUCUGUCUAUGUCUGUGCUUUCCGAAUGGCUCUUCCAGCCCUGUGAUAUACUUUUACGAUGACCCCAGAUUUUCUGGCCCAACCCAGUUGACAGUGACCAGCUCUGCUGGUGGGAGUCCCUGCUCACUGGGGCUAGGAAGAAAUGCAGAACUGAUUCCCAUGUUUCAACCCAGCCAAGCGAGCCUAGGGCCUCUUCUCUCAGCCGGCCAGCCUCCUGUCCUUGCGACCCAAGUACGCGCUAAUCACUGUCUCUGUUCUCUCUCUCCCCCAACCCCGCCUUCUCCUGCUCCCGACUUCCCCAGCUCUCAGAGGAAGCCCUGGAGGAAGCACGAUGCUGAUUCUGCAGAGGAAGUGCAAGAAGGUGCGCCAGCACUCCCCAGCCUCCAGGGAAAUCUGAGGUAGGAACACAGCACUGCUACCUUCUCACCUUCUCAGGUGAGCCUCAAACCUGAACAGACUCCGGGGGCUCCACUAUAAGGAUGGGAGCUGCGUUCUGAAUAGAGAC